AAAAAGACAAACCCUGAUUUCCGUGCCUAACGUUUGGCCGUCCGUCUUAUUUGAAAAAAAUUAAAAGACAAGUCACGCACAAAGUAUUAAUCAUGUUUUAUCAUCUAACAAUAAUAAAAAUAUGAAUUAUAAAAAAAAUUCAUAUAAUACGGAUAGUCAAAGUUAGACACGAAAACCCAGAGUUUGCUUUUUU
Molecule: microRNA precursor, 193 nt
Filed under: Oryza sativa Indica Group (long-grained rice)
Lineage: Eukaryota; Viridiplantae; Streptophyta; Magnoliopsida; Poales; Poaceae
Description: MIR812 microRNA precursor family
Rfam family: MIR812 microRNA precursor family
Source: Rfam by way of RNAcentral